CUUCCGUGGAAUUAUGGGUGCUCUUCCUGUUCGCAGGCUUGAGUUACCUUCCACGGGUGUAUUUUAAAACUCGUUUUGUAUUAUUGUCUGAUUUCAAAAUUUUAAUAAAAGUUAAAACUUUCAACAACGGAUCUCUAGGUUCUCGCAUCGAUGAAGAACGCAGCGAAAUGCGAUAAGUAGUGUGAAUUGCAGAUUUCAGUGAAUCAUCGAAUCUUUGAACGCACAUUGCGCCCUUUGGUAUUCCGAAGGGCAUGCCUGUCUGAGCGUCAGUAAAUCAAUCAAACCUUGGUUUGGUAUUGGGAGAAGUGGUUUUACCUCUCUCCUUUAAGCUAUUGGCGACGCUAUUUCAGCUUGUAAGACGUAGUAAGUAAUUUCUCGUUAAAGCAACUGGAUGGCUGUCUGCCAAAUGAACGAUUUAUUUUAAAGUUUGACCUCAGAUCAGGUAGGGAUACCCCCCUGAACUUAAGC
This 468-nucleotide ribosomal RNA is filed under the name fungal sp. RNAcentral's name for it is "eukaryotic LSU rRNA". The stretch from base 116 to 269 matches the Rfam family "5.8S ribosomal RNA". The record is from RNAcentral. Lineage: Eukaryota; Fungi.